CGCAUAUUAGCUCAACGGCUGAGCACAUCCCUCUUAAGGAUAAGGAGCGGGUUCGAUUCCCGCAUCUGCGACCA
RNAcentral lists this transfer RNA (74 nucleotides) under Thermoplasmata archaeon M11B2D. RNAcentral describes it as "tRNA-Lys". It matches the Rfam family "tRNA". From Rfam's summary of the family: Transfer RNA (tRNA) molecules are approximately 80 nucleotides in length. Their secondary structure includes four short double-helical elements and three loops (D, anti-codon, and T loops). Further hydrogen bonds mediate the characteristic L-shaped molecular structure. tRNAs have two regions of fundamental functional importance: the anti-codon, which is responsible for specific mRNA codon recognition, and the 3' end, to which the tRNAs corresponding amino acid is attached (by aminoacyl-tRNA synthetases). tRNAs cope with the degeneracy of the genetic code in two manners: having more than one tRNA (with a specific anti-codon) for a particular amino acid; and 'wobble' base-pairing, i.e. permitting non-standard base-pairing at the 3rd anti-codon position. RNAcentral also lists the same sequence under 1 other name. The record is from RNAcentral. Lineage: Archaea; Methanobacteriati; Thermoplasmatota; Thermoplasmata.